Molecule: ribosomal RNA, 496 nt
Filed under: uncultured bacterium
Lineage: Bacteria
Description: partial 16S ribosomal RNA
Rfam family: Bacterial small subunit ribosomal RNA
Source: RNAcentral
GAUGAACGCUGGCGGCGUGCCUAAUACAUGCAAGUCGAGCGAACAGAUGAGGAGCUUGCUCCUCUGACGUUAGCGGCGGACGGGUGAGUAACACGUGGAUAACCUACCUAUAAGACUGGGAUAACUUCGGGAAACCGGAGCUAAUACCGGAUAAUAUAUUGAACCGCAUGGUUCAAUAGUGAAAGACGGUUUUGCUGUCACUUAUAGAUGGAUCCGCGCCGCAUUAGCUAGUUGGUAAGGUAACGGCUUACCAAGGCAACGAUGCGUAGCCGACCUGAGAGGGUGAUCGGCCACACUGGAACUGAGACACGGUCCAGACUCCUACGGGAGGCAGCAGUAGGGAAUCUUCCGCAAUGGGCGAAAGCUUGACGGAGCAACGCCGCGGGAGUGAUGAAGGUCUUCGGAUCGUAAAACUCUGUUAUUAGGGAAGAACAAAUGUGUAAGUAACUAUGCACGUCUGGACGGUACCUAAGCAGAAAGCCACGGCUAACUACGU